GAGGUUGUAGCUCAGUGGUAGCGUGCUCACCUAGCACGUGUGAGGCCCUGGGUUCAAUCCUCAGCACCACA
This 71-nucleotide transfer RNA is filed under the name Marmota monax (woodchuck). RNAcentral's name for it is "tRNA.Ala". The record is from RNAcentral. Lineage: Eukaryota; Metazoa; Chordata; Mammalia; Rodentia; Sciuridae.